Wohlfahrtiimonas chitiniclastica SH04 is the source of this 28-nucleotide non-coding RNA. NCBI's taxonomy places the organism in Bacteria, Pseudomonadati, Pseudomonadota, Gammaproteobacteria, Cardiobacteriales, Ignatzschineriaceae. The record is from Rfam.
GUUAACCGCCACAUAGGCGGCUUAGAAA